RNAcentral lists this long non-coding RNA (224 nucleotides) under Rhinopithecus bieti (black snub-nosed monkey). Its description in RNAcentral is "lncRNA (ENSRBIG00000046251.1)". Lineage: Eukaryota; Metazoa; Chordata; Mammalia; Primates; Cercopithecidae. The record is from RNAcentral.
CUUGAGAACCUUCUGUGUUUGGUUGCCGGGAUGUUGCUAUGGUCACAUUCCAUGUUGGAAUUGGAGUAGUGAACUGUGGAAACAGUGAUAGCUCAGGAUGCCCAGGCUUGAAGCUAGGCUAUCUGGAAAUUCUGGAGUGUGCUAAAGCCACACUGGACAUGGACCAGACAGCUCUGAAGAAACUGGUAGGAUCCAUCAGUGAAACUGUCAAGAGCUUAUCAUAA